This 1707-nucleotide long non-coding RNA is filed under the name Scleropages formosus (Asian bonytongue). RNAcentral describes it as "lncRNA (ENSSFOG00015031280.1)". Lineage: Eukaryota; Metazoa; Chordata; Actinopteri; Osteoglossiformes; Osteoglossidae. The record is from RNAcentral.
AUGUCGGCCCCGCCGCCGCCGCCGCACUGUCGCGCCCUCCUCCUCGCGCUCUGCGCCACCGCGCUGCCGACGCUUCGCUCGAUGAGCGCGCCGCCGCGUCCCCCAGGAACGUUCGGCACUCACGUGCAGACGCUCUCGCGCAGAGGCGACUUCAUCUGGGAGAUGGGCGCGAGGAAUCCGGCUUACAGUAUGACACCAGUGGAGGCCAGAGGAGCUGAUCAUGUGACCACACUGCAUGUGAGAGGGAACCGCUUUUUGAGCACGGACACAAAGGGAACUGUCUGCACCCCUACUGUUUCCUGGCAGCAUGACUGUCUCUUUCCCCGAGUGAAAAGACAGUCUAACAUACUGGGCCCCAACAGAAGUGGCCUGCAGCUGACCCGUGAGAGAGCCCAGCCGCUGCAAAGGCAGAGGAGGGCCUUGCUCCUGGAGCACAGGGAACCCCGAAGGGAGCCCCACAGCCUGGAUGGCAGACAGUGGGGGAGUCAGAGCGCCAGUCCGCAGAGGGCCGAGCUGUUGGAGCAGAGCCUGUCGAUUUCUAGGGAGAGCAUCACUUCGAUCAUUCAUGACGACCCCCUGGAGGUUUUAAAGCCCAUGAACCCCAGCAGUCCCCAGAACACAGGGGCUUCUGGCCAGACAAGACUAAAAAGGUGGGCAACCAGGAGACCAAAGAGCAGGGAUAGAGUCGAAGCAGCUGGUGUGAAACAGCGUUUACUUUUUUAUUCCUCUAGUUGAUGCUUAUCACCAAAGCAACUUACCAUGUUGUCAGCUGUUGUUUACCCAUUUAUACAGCUGGGUAACCUUUACUGGAGCAAUACAGGGGUAAGUACCUUGAUCAAGGGUACAACAGCGCAACAGGUGACAUUUGAACAUGUGAUCUUUGGAACUGAAGGCAUGAGCAUUAACUGUUCCGCUACCAGCUGCCCCCCCCCGAGGUCCACAACUCGUGAAAUGAUGCCAGAAAAUUGCUAAUUAAAGUGAGGUUUAUAGGCUGACCCUAUUUCUGGAAAAUAGUCCUGUACCGUUCAAGUUACCAGAAAGAUUGACGGCCCAACAGAAGGGCCUCUCAAGGACUUUAAAAGUCUGAGGGUACGGUAGACCUGUGCGCUGCCAAGGCUGGACAUGGGAUCACAUCGACAUCUUUAGAACAGUAUUAUAACUCAGUGGGGAUUUUGAACAAAUUAUUUGCAGAAGCCAAACUGAACCCUGACCACCUGGACCUGCGCCCCAAGUUCAUGCGUCAAAGUGCGGUCAUGUGGAUGGAGCGCACAGGGCUUCUUUGACUUCACAUGAACAUGUCACAAUGCUUUAGAGUAGACUUGUUUUUUAAUAACAGUAAAACAUGGGCAACUACUACAGUUUCCCCUCAAAACCUUUGUCGCAUUCAGUGCUCAUGCUGUACAUGUACAUACUUGGGCUUGAAAAUAGUUGCUGCAGUGGCUCAACUGUUCAUCCUGUACUCGGCUUUGAAGUUAAAAUUUAAACCCAAAGUCACACUGGGCUUCUGGUUGCAAAAUGUUCUUUGGAAGCAUACCAGCACGUAUCUAAAGUUUACUAGUUGGAAUGAAGUUUUUUAGUGAACUUUCUUCAUUAGUGUCCGAUAGAAUCAAUCAGUGGUAAUUUUUGAAAGGUUUUCCUUUGAUAUUUAUCAUGAGAUUACCAGCAGGACCCAAUAAACUAUGCAAGAAAUGGAUGAAAUUGGUCCUA